UAGGAAAGUCAUAAAUAUAUAAAUUAUAUUAUAUAAUUAAUAUAAUAAUAAAAUAAAUUAUAUAUUUUAUUUAUAAUAUUAUUUCUUUAUAAGAUAAAUAUUAUCUAAUUAAUAAUUAGAUUGAAUAAUAUUUAUAAAGAAAUAUAUAUAAAAAAUCAUUAUAUAAAUUUAAUUAUAAUUUAAAUAAAUUUUAUAUAAAUUAAUAUAAUAUUAAUAAAGUAAUUAGUAUAAAUAAAUAAUAUGAAAAUAAAACUUAAUAAAUAUAUAAAUAUAGUCCAUAUAUAUAUAUUAAUAAAAAGUAAUAUAUAUAUAUAUAUUGGAAUAGUUAUAUUAUUAUACAGAAAUAUGCUUAA
RNAcentral lists this unclassified non-coding RNA (353 nucleotides) under Saccharomyces cerevisiae (brewer's yeast). The record is from RNAcentral. Lineage: Eukaryota; Fungi; Ascomycota; Saccharomycetes; Saccharomycetales; Saccharomycetaceae.